Molecule: ribosomal RNA, 235 nt
Filed under: uncultured bacterium
Lineage: Bacteria
Description: partial 16S ribosomal RNA
Rfam family: Bacterial small subunit ribosomal RNA
Source: RNAcentral
CGAACGGGCGAGUAACACGUGGGUGACCUGCCCUUAGCUCUGGGAUAAGCCUGGGAAACUGGGUCUAAUACCGGAUAUGACUCCAUGACGCAUGUUGUGGGGUGGAAAGCCUUGUGCGGCUAGGGAUGGGCCCGCGGCCUAUCAGCUUGUUGGUGGGGUGAUGGCCUACCAAGGCGACGACGGGUAGCCGGCCUGAGAGGGCGACCGGCCACACUGGGACUGAGACACGGCCCAG